AGAGUUUGAUCAUGGCUCAGAUUGAACGCUGGCGGAAUGCUUUACACAUGCAAGUCGAGCGGCAGCGCGGGGGCAACCCUGGCGGCGAGCGGCGAACGGGUGAGUAACAUAUCGGAACGUACCCAGUCGUGGGGGAUAACUAUCCGAAAGGAUAGCUAAUACCGCAUACGACCUGAGGGUGAAAGCGGGGGACCGAAAGGCCUCGCGCGAUUGGAGCGGCCGAUAUCGGAUUAGCUAGUUGGUGAGGUAAAGGCUCACCAAGGCGACGAUCCGUAGCUGGUCUGAGAGGACGACCAGCCACACUGGAACUGAGACACGGUCCAGACUCCUACGGGAGGCAGCAGUGGGGAAUUUUGGACAAUGGGGGCAACCCUGAUCCAGCCAUUCCGCGUGAGUGAAGAAGGCCUUCGGGUUGUAAAGCUCUUUCAGCAGGAACGAAACGGUGGUCCCUAAUACGGGCUACUAAUGACGGUACCUGAAGAAGAAGCACCGGCUAACUACGUGCCAGCAGCCGCGGUAAUACGUAGGGUGCGAGCGUUAAUCGGAAUUACUGGGCGUAAAGCGUGCGCAGGCGGUUAUAUAAGACAGAUGUGAAAUCCCCGGGCUUAACCUGGGAACUGCGUUUGUGACUGUAUAACUUGAGUGUGGCAGAGGGGGGGUGGAAUUCCACGUGUAGCAGUGAAAUGCGUAGAGAUGUGGAGGAACACCGAUGGCGAAGGCAGCCCCCUGGGUCAACACUGACGCUCAUGCACGAAAGCGUGGGGAGCAAACAGGAUUAGAUACCCUGGUAGUCCACGCCCUAAACGAUGCGAACUAGGUGUUGGGGAAGGAGACUUUCUUAGUACCGCAGCUAACGCGUGAAGUUCGCCGCCUGGGGAGUACGGUCGCAAGAUUAAAACUCAAGGAAUUGACGG
RNAcentral lists this ribosomal RNA (914 nucleotides) under uncultured bacterium. RNAcentral's name for it is "bacterial SSU rRNA". It matches the Rfam family "Bacterial small subunit ribosomal RNA", at positions 8 to 916 of the family's 1533-position model. The record is from RNAcentral.